GCUAGUGGGGGAGAGACCACGCACGCCGCGCCCUGCUUGGCCGGCGACUCGGCGAGCCCGUCCGCACGCCCCUCGAUCUAGCACAGCUAGCGCACCGCGCCGGCAGCGGCGCCAUACCGUAAUUAUUGCGCUGCGCCUGCACACGGAAGCCCUAGCCGGCCGGCCAGCCACACGGAAUGUUCCAGCGUGCGUCGACCCUGCGCGCCCCGGUCGACGCUGCCACCGCGGGCCCAGCAGCCGGUUCACCGCGCGCCUAUAUAGCUGGCCGCCCCCUUCCUAGCCCCGCGCUCCAAUUCUCCCAUCUCAGCACCAUCCCAUACCAUCCACCUCGCCUAUAUGUGCUGCGUGCGGUGAUCGCGGCGGCGGUAGUUGAGGGCGCGCGCGGUAACGUAGCGAGCGAGGCGUGCCUUGAUCGGUGGGCGUCGUCGUCGGGCGGUGACAGAAGAGAGUGAGCACACGGCCGGGCGGAACGGCACCAGCGGAUGUGCCGUCGCGGCCGCGUGCUCACUGCUCUAUCUGUCACCCACCUUCCCCCCUCCGGCCGCCUUGCCGAUCGAUGCCGUCCUCGCGAACACACAGCUGCGCGCCGUGAUCACCGCACCGGCCGGCAAUGCACCGCCGCCGCCGCUACACUACCGUGAUCACCAUGGUUGCAGUAUAUCAUUGUAUGCCGUCGAAUUGAUGCCCAUACGUGCCGUCGAAUUGAUGCGGAUACGUGGUUUUUGUGUUCGUCACUGGUAGUCCGGUACUCUUUUUCUGUUUGUUUUGAGAAAAAAGGAGAGAGAAACUGGUCCUUCUGCAAAAAAUUCUAUUUUUGGGCGGUUCGUACGUACGGCCGUGCAGCUGGAUAUGAACUUUUGGGCGCGCGUGUGUACCUUCUCGCACGGAUUCCCUCCCUUUCGCUUCGUACGAAUACUGCUGUGAUUGUUCAUCUUUUCCAAGGGAUCCAACCGUUAUCCGCCUGCUUGCUUCUUGGGAAGCACUCCAUUCCUGGUGGAUCUCCAGACUCCGUACUCCGAAGUCAAGAUUGAAUUUGUUCAUGGCAGAAGCAAGCGAGCAGAUGAGGCAAGCUAGCACACCAAUCUCUCAGCCUCAGAUCUGCUUGUUACUUCGUCCAUGUCAUGUCAGGUCAGUACUCCAGUUAGCAAGAGCUAGUAUAGCUAGCUGCAGAUCCUGUGCAUGCUGUCCUUUUGUUCUUCAUCUUCACACGUGCUGCUGUUUUGCUGUAGUUAGUCGUAGCAGUAUCAAAAAAAAUUUCCUUUGAAGACACUUGCAGUUACCUCUUCAGUCUGUACCGACCGACUCAGUAGAGAUCCAGAUCGAUACGAGACCUUUUAUGCGCUGAUCUCGUCAUACAUCAAAGAUACAACUCAAUGUGUUCAGCCGUGAAGAAUUAGCGUCAAUCAAUUUGAUUGUUCAUCAGGUGUGAAAUUUGCAACUGCUAAAACCAGAGCCCGCGGUCAAGUGUGUUUGCCUGCUGCAUCUUGCGUGAGAUUUGCCGGAGCUUGGGGAGCACAAUCCUAUUUGGCUGGACUGGAGGGGCCGACUGGGGGUUUUGCAAAUGUGAGUGGGGUCCUAAUGGGCUGGGCUGGGUUGGCCGGUUGGGUAUGUCAGGGGCCUUGGGCCUCAGAUAUCCGUCGCUUAGCCGAUUUCGAUGCCGAUUCCGGCAGAAAUCGCUGUGCCGUUUCCGACGCCAAUUUCAGCGUCGGCGAUAUUCAAAGAUUAUCCGAAUCGGCACUCUCCAUUUCAGAUUCAAACUUGAAUCGGCCGGAAUUAUCCGAGCUGUUUUCACCUCUACAGGCCGGUCCAGACCCGCAACCAUCUUGCGCCUUGCCUUGCACCAGCUAGCCGCUGAAACGGCCUCGAUUCGGACUCAGGGAAACAUCCUCGCACGCAUGCACGGAGCAAGUAGAUUUGGUUCCAAAUUAAGGUAGGAAACAGUUGUGAAACCCUAAUCGAGGGAAUGUGUGCUUGAUACCGAACUUGCCAUUGAAAAACUUUCUAUAUAAAGUACCCCUUUACUCAACGGAUAAAUAAUAGUAAAAAGAAUGCUCCCACCUA
Long non-coding RNA from Phragmites australis (common reed), 2061 nucleotides. RefSeq lists it as uncharacterized. NCBI's taxonomy places the organism in Eukaryota, Viridiplantae, Streptophyta, Magnoliopsida, Poales, Poaceae. The record is from RefSeq and is a predicted model, not a curated record. The transcript has 4 exons.